AGUGAACGCUGGCGGUAGGCCUAACACAUGCAAGUCGAACGGCAGCACAGUAAGAGCUUGCUCUUACGGGUGGCGAGUGGCGGACGGGUGAGGAAUACAUCGGAAUCUACUUUUUCGUGGGGGAUAACGUAGGGAAACUUACGCUAAUACCGCAUACGACCUACGGGUGAAAUCAGGGGAUCUUCGGACCUUGCGCGAUUCAAUGAGCCGAUGUCGGAUUAGCUAGUUGGCGGGGUAAAGGCCCACCAAGGCGACGAUCCGUAGCUGGUCUGAGAGGAUGAUCAGCCACACGGGAACUGAGACACGGUCAAGACUCCUACGGGAGGCAGCAGUGGGGAAUAUUGGACAAUGGGCGCAAGCCUGCUCCAGCCAUACCGCGUGGGUGAAGAAGGCCUUCGGGUUGUAAAGCCCUUUUGUUGGGAAAGAAAAGCAGCAGGUUAAUACCCCGCUGUUCUGACGGUACCAAAAGAAUAAGCACCGGCUAACUUCGU
Molecule: ribosomal RNA, 491 nt
Filed under: uncultured bacterium
Lineage: Bacteria
Description: partial 16S ribosomal RNA
Rfam family: Bacterial small subunit ribosomal RNA
Source: RNAcentral